Long non-coding RNA from Melanotaenia boesemani (Boeseman's rainbowfish), 304 nucleotides. RefSeq lists it as uncharacterized. The record is from RefSeq and is a predicted model, not a curated record. Lineage: Eukaryota; Metazoa; Chordata; Actinopteri; Atheriniformes; Melanotaeniidae. The transcript has 3 exons.
AGGAAGUUUGGAUUCAUCCACAUUCUCAGCCUGAACAUAGAUGAGAUCUGCUGAAGGUCAUCAAAUACCUGAACCCAGAUGGUGUAUUAGACUGGAGGCAGCUUUGAAUCCUAGAACCUGACCAGACCCCAGACCUACAUCAACCAGUAACCCUGACGAGGAGUGUUGAAUAACCCUUACAGAGCUGAGGUCUGAUGUCAUCUUCCUGGUUCAUGCGUCUGGACUGAAACCAUUUUUCUGAUGGACUGGAAGGUGGAGGUGCUGCUGGGAUGGUGUGACAUGGAUUUUUACUAUCCAAUCAGAA